Tarenaya hassleriana is the source of this 398-nucleotide long non-coding RNA. RefSeq lists it as uncharacterized. The record is from RefSeq and is a predicted model, not a curated record. Lineage: Eukaryota; Viridiplantae; Streptophyta; Magnoliopsida; Brassicales; Cleomaceae. The transcript has 2 exons.
UAGCAGAGGAAAUCAAAUUGAAGAAGUGGAAGAAGAAAAGCCGAGGCGAAAACGACUGGUGCACAAUCUCAAUGUCUUACUUGGAAGAAAGACCCACUUGCCCCUCCGAUUGCUUCUCAAAACUCGUCGGACUCUCUCUUGCCUGAGACGCCGGCGCCGGCAACGACCAAACCGCCAUCGGCGUCUGUACCAUCUCUCCCUUUUUAUGUUUUCAGAUUCUGGGAAAAGUGGGGAGAAUGAUGGAAAGUUGGAAACGAAGAAUACGAAUAGAUUGGUGAAGAUGAAGAUGAGGAUGAAGAUGAGAAGGGUUUAAUCUUUUUCAAAUAAUAUUGGUCGUGUCAAUCGAAGAACAAAUAUUAUUUUCCAUCUACAUUUAUAAAAGAUAUCGGUCUGAAUUU